AAAUUGAAGAGUUUGAUCAUGGCUCAGAUUGAACGCUGGCGGCAGGCCUAACACAUGCAAGUCGAACGGUAACAGGAAGCAGCUUGCUGCUUCGCUGACGAGUGGCGGACGGGUGAGUAAUGUCUGGGAAACUGCCUGAUGGAGGGGGAUAACUACUGGAAACGGUAGCUAAUACCGCAUAACGUCGCAAGACCAAAGAGGGGGACCCUCGGGCCUCUUGCCAUCGGAUGUGCCCAGAUGGGAUUAGCUUGUUGGUGGGGUAACGGCUCACCAAGGCGACGAUCCCUAGCUGGUCUGAGAGGAUGACCAGCCACACUGGAACUGAGACACGGUCCAGACUCCUACGGGAGGCA
RNAcentral lists this ribosomal RNA (353 nucleotides) under Escherichia coli. Its description in RNAcentral is "bacterial SSU rRNA". It matches the Rfam family "Bacterial small subunit ribosomal RNA", at positions 1 to 350 of the family's 1533-position model. Lineage: Bacteria; Pseudomonadati; Pseudomonadota; Gammaproteobacteria; Enterobacterales; Enterobacteriaceae. The record is from RNAcentral.